GUCUAUGGCCAUGCUACCCUGAAGGCGCCAUAUCUCAUCUGAUUUCAGAAGCUAAGCAGGGUCGGGCCUGCUUAGUACUGGGAAGGGAGACCACCUAGGAAUACAAUGUGCUAUCGGUA
RNAcentral lists this ribosomal RNA (119 nucleotides) under Pteropus alecto (black flying fox). Lineage: Eukaryota; Metazoa; Chordata; Mammalia; Chiroptera; Pteropodidae. The record is from RNAcentral.